Small nucleolar RNA from Raphanus sativus (radish), 85 nucleotides. RefSeq annotates it as small nucleolar RNA snoR114. The transcript has a single exon. The record is from RefSeq and is a predicted model, not a curated record. Lineage: Eukaryota; Viridiplantae; Streptophyta; Magnoliopsida; Brassicales; Brassicaceae.
GAGCUGUGAAGAAAUUGGCAUAAGCGUAGGUUGGGUCCUUCGCACUCUUCUGAUUACCAGAUGUAAUAGCCACAAUGCUGAGCUC